RNAcentral lists this ribosomal RNA (708 nucleotides) under uncultured bacterium. RNAcentral's name for it is "bacterial SSU rRNA". It matches the Rfam family "Bacterial small subunit ribosomal RNA", at positions 94 to 801 of the family's 1533-position model. The record is from RNAcentral.
ACCGGCGCACGGGUGAGUAACAGGUAUCCAACCUCCUGCUUACUGGGGAAUAGCCUAUCGAAAGAAAGAUUAAUCCCCGAUGGUAUAAAGAGUUGGCUUGUUCUCUUUCUUAAUAAUUAUCGGUUAGAGAUGGGCAUGCGUUCCAUUAGAUUGUUGGUGAGGUAACGGCCCACCAAGUCUACGAUGGAUAGGGGUUGUGAGAGGAAGGUCCCCCACAUUGGAACUGAGACACGGUCCAAACUCCUACGGGAGGCAGCAGUGAGGAAUAUUGGUCAAUGGACGAGAGCCUGAACCAGCCAAGUAGCGUGAAGGAAGACUGCCCUAUGGGUUGUAAACUUCUUUUAUAAGGGAAUAAAGUGAGGGACGUGUCCCUUUUUGUAUGUACCUUAUGAAUAAGGAUCGGCUAACUCCGUGCCAGCAGCCGCGGUAAUACGGAGGAUCCAAGCGUUAUCCGGAUUUAUUGGGUUUAAAGGGAGCGUAGGUUGACAUAUAAGUCAGCUGUGAAAGUUUACGGCUCAACCGUGAAAUUGCAGUUGAUACUGUAUGUCUUGAGUGUACAAGAGGUGGGCGGAAUUCGUGGUGUAGCGGUGAAAUGCUUAGAUAUCACGAAGAACUCCAAUUGCGAAGGCAGCUCACUGGGGUACAACUGACACUGAGGCUCGAAAGUGUGGGUAUCAAACAGGAUUAGAUACCCUGGUAGUCCACACA